AGCGAACGCUGGCGGCAGGCCUAACACAUGCAAGUCGAACGGGCGUCGCAAGACGUCAGUGGCAGACGGGUGAGUAACGCGUGGGAACGUGCCCUUCGGUUCGGAAUAACCCAGGGAAACUUGGGCUAAUACCGGAUACGCCCGCAAGGGGAAAGAUUUAUCGCCGAAGGAUCGGCCCGCGUCCGAUUAGCUAGUUGGUGGGGUAACGGCCCACCAAGGCGACGAUCGGUAGCUGGUCUGAGAGGAUGAUCAGCCACACUGGGACUGAGACACGGCC
This 277-nucleotide ribosomal RNA is filed under the name uncultured bacterium. RNAcentral describes it as "partial 16S ribosomal RNA". It matches the Rfam family "Bacterial small subunit ribosomal RNA", at positions 29 to 331 of the family's 1533-position model. The record is from RNAcentral.